Molecule: long non-coding RNA, 274 nt
Filed under: Durio zibethinus
Lineage: Eukaryota; Viridiplantae; Streptophyta; Magnoliopsida; Malvales; Malvaceae
Description: long non-coding RNA (DZIB_LNC001780)
Source: RNAcentral
AUCGAACGGGUUCCUAAAUUUUUCAGUAAUUUCAUUCUAUAUGCACCUCAGCAAGCUCAGACCAUAAUAAAUAUGGGAGAUCCCCUACUAAUAAAAUAGAGUCUAGGAAUGAAUGAAGAGUGAUCUCGUAUAAGAUCACAAUUUCUUCGUCAUAAUAAUAGCAAAAGAACUUUUAGAACAGAUAAAAGAAAAUGACUGAUAAUAAAUGUAACCCUAACAUGUGACCAAGGGUGGCAUAUCGUAUGCAUACCAAAACACUGCCAGUACCAACCUG